GAUGAACGCUAGCUACAGGCUUAACACAUGCCAGUCGAGGGGAAACGACAUCGAAAGCUUGCUUUUGAUGGGCGUCGACCGGCGCACGGGUGAGUAACGCGUAUCCAACCUGCCCACCACUUGGGGAUAACCUUGCGAAAGUAAGACUAAUACCCAAUGACGUCUCUAGAAGACAUCUGAAAGAGAUUAAAGAUUUAUCGGUGAUGGAUGGGGAUGCGUCUGAUUAGCUUGUUGGCGGGGUAACGGCCCACCAAGGCGACGAUCAGUAGGGGUUCUGAGAGGAAGGUCCCCCACAUUGGAACUGAGACACGGUCCAAACUCCUACGGGAGGCAGCAGUGAGGAAUAUUGGUCAAUGGACGAGAGUCUGAACCAGCCAAGUAGCGUGCAGGAUGACGGCCCUAUGGGUUGUAAACUGCUUUUAUAAGGGAAUAAAGUGAGUCUCGUGAGACUUUUUGCAUGUACCUUAUGAAUAAGGACCGGCUAAUUCCGUG
This 492-nucleotide ribosomal RNA is filed under the name uncultured bacterium. RNAcentral describes it as "partial 16S ribosomal RNA". It matches the Rfam family "Bacterial small subunit ribosomal RNA", at positions 28 to 507 of the family's 1533-position model. The record is from RNAcentral.